AGACUAACCUGGAGACCAUGAUCGUGAAGUUGAUUUUCCCAGGAUGAGGCAAUCCCAUUGCACUUUGGUUGUGCUGAUGCCUCCAAUGUCUCCAAAUGCCAGAUACUUGACUGCAAAAUGUUUGGCUGCUAUAUUCUUCCUAUCAAAGAUAAUACCU
Molecule: non-coding RNA, 157 nt
Organism: Chiloscyllium plagiosum (whitespotted bambooshark)
Lineage: Eukaryota; Metazoa; Chordata; Chondrichthyes; Orectolobiformes; Hemiscylliidae
Source: RefSeq, a predicted model, not a curated record